CCUUAGUGAACUAGAGUGAUGAGAGAACCUUCUGCGUGCCUUGAAGUUUCAUGAACAGCUUGUGAAAUGCUCUGAAACCUUUAGUUUCCAAGAACUGACUUCCACAAAGUUGAAGACUGAGAGUAGAGGAGCAAGCAGCAUAAGAAAGAAGUGUUGAGAACUGCUCUUAACCCUUUUGGAGGCCGAAGUCAAAAGGUAAAACCAAAUGCUAAUGUUUCUGCUUCUGAAGGUGUUGCUAUCAUAAUUGUUUGGAAAUGCUGUUUCCUUAUCACAUCUGAACUGAGAUUUCCCACAGGAGAAAAGCAGGGAUACAGUAAGAGGAAUCAAAACAUUAUUAGACCUCUUUAAGAGCCACCAGCAUAUCUGGGCAUAAAUUAUACAGGUAAGUUUCAACUGGUAAACUGCAAUUAUCUGUUUUACUUAAUAUGAAAACAUUGGUGUUG
RNAcentral lists this long non-coding RNA (443 nucleotides) under Cyanistes caeruleus (blue tit). RNAcentral's name for it is "lncRNA (ENSCCEG00000015232.1)". The record is from RNAcentral. Lineage: Eukaryota; Metazoa; Chordata; Aves; Passeriformes; Paridae.